RNAcentral lists this ribosomal RNA (465 nucleotides) under Vreelandella stevensii. Its description in RNAcentral is "partial 16S ribosomal RNA". It matches the Rfam family "Bacterial small subunit ribosomal RNA", at positions 338 to 795 of the family's 1533-position model. The record is from RNAcentral. Lineage: Bacteria; Pseudomonadati; Pseudomonadota; Gammaproteobacteria; Oceanospirillales; Halomonadaceae.
CCUACGGGUGGCAGCAGUGGGGAAUAUUGGACAAUGGGGGCAACCCUGAUCCAGCCAUGCCGCGUGUGUGAAGAAGGCCCUCGGGUUGUAAAGCACUUUCAGUGAGGAAGAACGCCUGGUGGUUAAUACCCAUCAGGAAAGACAUCACUCACAGAAGAAGCACCGGCUAACUCCGUGCCAGCAGCCGCGGUAAUACGGAGGGUGCGAGCGUUAAUCGGAAUUACUGGGCGUAAAGCGCGCGUAGGUGGCUUGAUAAGCCGGUUGUGAAAGCCCCGGGCUCAACCUGGGAACGGCAUCCGGAACUGUCAAGCUAGAGUGCAGGAGAGGAAGGUAGAAUUCCCGGUGUAGCGGUGAAAUGCGUAGAGAGCGGGAGGAAUACCAGUGGCGAAGGCGGCCUUCUGGACUGACACUGACACUGAGGUGCGAAAGCGUGGGUAGCAAACAGGAUUAGAUACCCUGGUAGUC